Molecule: microRNA precursor, 66 nt
Organism: Gallus gallus (chicken)
Lineage: Eukaryota; Metazoa; Chordata; Aves; Galliformes; Phasianidae
Source: Ensembl
UGUGUGUGAGCGGGGGGGGGCCGGGUGCCGUCGCGCCCCGCGUCACUCAGCCCUCCGUUUGCCCGC